This 497-nucleotide ribosomal RNA is filed under the name uncultured bacterium. Its description in RNAcentral is "partial 16S ribosomal RNA". It matches the Rfam family "Bacterial small subunit ribosomal RNA", at positions 28 to 507 of the family's 1533-position model. The record is from RNAcentral.
GGUGAACGCUGGCGGCGUGCCUAAUACAUGCAAGUCGAGCGAACGGACGAGAAGCUUGCUUCUCUGAUGUUAGCGGCGGACGGGUGAGUGACACGUGGAUAACCUACCUAUAAGACUGGGAUAACUUCGGGAAACCGGAGCUAAUACCGGAUAAUAUUUUGAACCGCAUGGUUCAAAAGUGAAAGACGGUCUUGCUGUCACUUAUAGAUGGAUCCGCGCUGCAUUAGCUAGUUGGUAAGGUAACGGCUUACCAAGGCAACGAUGCAUAGCCGACCUGAGAGGGUGAUCGGCCACACUGGAACUGAGACACGGUCCAGACUCCUACGGGAGGCAGCAGUAGGGAAUCUUCCGCAAUGGGCGAAAGCCUGACGGAGCAACGCCGCGUGAGUGAUGAAGGUCUUCGGAUCGUAAAACUCUGUUAUUAGGGAAGAACAUAUGUGUAAGUAACUGUGCACAUCUUGACGGUACCUAAUCAGAAAGCCACGGCUAACUACGUG